Molecule: long non-coding RNA, 1179 nt
Filed under: Cavia porcellus (domestic guinea pig)
Lineage: Eukaryota; Metazoa; Chordata; Mammalia; Rodentia; Caviidae
Description: lncRNA (ENSCPOG00000036832.1)
Source: RNAcentral
GUUGAUUUAUUCCUUUACUUUGCUGCUUUGCAGGAGUUUUCAACGCUUGCAAAAGAGCUCAACAUUUGCAGGGAACAGCUGCUUGAGAAGGAAAAAGAAAUUGCUGAGCUGAAAGCAGAAAGGAACAACAUGAGGCUGUUCCUGGAACAUCUGGAGUUCCUUGUCUCCAGGCAUGAACGCUCUCUCGAAACGACUGUGAUGAAGCGGCAGGCGCGGUGUCCUGCAGGUGUGUCCACAGAGAUGGAAGUGCUAAAAGCACUGACAUUCUUAUUUGACCACCACAAGACCCUGGACGAAGAGGUGCGAGAGCAAUUACGUGUAGCACUGCAAAGGUGCAGCUUGCUGGAAGAGGAACUGGGCGCCACGCACAAGGAGGUAAUUGUGGGACAUCAUCCUAGCCCUGAAAAGGGAAAAUUAUUUUAUUUUAAUCUCUUAAAAAACAGUGUGAAGCCUGUAAUACUAUUGGAUUAGAUUUUUAUUUCAGAUUGCAAGAAUCUCUAAAUUUGUUGUCAAGCAGUCAGUACAUUCUGUUUCUAGUAAUCUGGUUCUGCUAUGGAUGGUCAGCUUUGGCAUGUACUGUCUUUUUUAUACUAUGUUCAGCACUGUAGAAUUAUGUUUUUCCAAAUGGAAUUUUGCUGUCUUUACUCAUUACUCUUCCAUAAGUUAUUGUAGUCUCAUACUCAGUUUUCGAUUGUAGCUAAUGACUCUUAAAAAACAGAAUAAUGAGAAAAAAUCACCAAGAGAUGGAGUGCUUGACCAUGAACAAGAAGAAACACCAAGCACUAAUGGAAAGGUAAGUCCUUGAGAUCUCUCUUUGUUCUGUUGCUGAUUUCUUAUAUUUUGUGGUUCGUGUGUGAUGCUGUUUGGAUGCUGUUGCUGGAAUGGCCUGCUUCCAGCUAAAGUGAUUGUUGAGAGUCCUAUCAUCCAACAGAUGGCAUAAAUCCAUUUUGAUAGUCCCUAUGUUCAAAAGUAUUUUAUUUGGUAGUACACUAAGGUUAUUUAAGAGUGUCCAUUUUACCCAUCAGAGAUCUUCUGCUGGCUCCUUAAGCCAUGAGGAAGACCUUGCCAAAAUAAUUGUGCUCCAAGAAGUCAUACACAAACAUUCAAAAGAGCAGAGUCAGAUGAAGGAGCUCCUGGCUGCACUUUCCAGCCAUGUGUCAGAGCUGCAAGAAAAUCUUG